CAGAGGUCCCAAGCGUUGUUCGGAUUCACUGGGCGUAAAGGGUGCGUAGGUGGCGAGGUAAGUCGGAUGUGAAAGCUCGGAGCUCAACUCCGAAAUGGCAUUGGAAACUACCUUGCUCGAGGGUUGAAGGGGGACUGGAAUGCUUGGUGUAGCAGUGAAAUGCGUAGAUAUCAAGCGGAACACCAGUGGCGAAGGCGAGUCCCUGGACAACUCCUGACACUGAGGCACGAAAGCUAGGGGAGCAAACAGGAUUAGAUACCCUGGUAGUCCUAGCCGUAAACGGUGCACGUUUGCUGUAAAAGGAAUCGACCCCUUUUGUGGCGUAGCCAACGCGUUAAACGUGCCGCCUGGGAAGUACGGUCGCAAGAUUAA
This 372-nucleotide ribosomal RNA is filed under the name uncultured organism. RNAcentral describes it as "bacterial SSU rRNA". It matches the Rfam family "Bacterial small subunit ribosomal RNA", at positions 526 to 897 of the family's 1533-position model. The record is from RNAcentral.